Long non-coding RNA from Cucurbita pepo subsp. pepo (vegetable marrow), 691 nucleotides. RefSeq lists it as uncharacterized. NCBI's taxonomy places the organism in Eukaryota, Viridiplantae, Streptophyta, Magnoliopsida, Cucurbitales, Cucurbitaceae. The record is from RefSeq and is a predicted model, not a curated record.
CCUUAGUUGUGAAUGAGAUAAUCCAUUGUGUGCUGCUGAGAUUCCAGAGAUGUUGAGGGCCGUUGUACGCUGCUGAUCGAAGCAGCUCUGCAAUGGAUGAUCUCUGCUCCAACACGGAGUAGAGCGCUAAUUAAAGCACUUAGUCCGCAGUGUCUGAUCUUGAUAUGCUCACGACAAGCUUUAAGCGGAACUUGAGCUCUAUAUUCAUUUUUUGUCCCGGCUUUGUGGCUUCAUCAAACUUAGGCGAGGUUUGUUUUCGUCAACCGAAUAUUACUUGUGUAGAAUCCAAGUUUGUUUGUCCACACACGCUGCUUUGCCUCUAUAUUAGGCCAAGUCAUUUGACUCGACUUUGCCUCUAUUCGGGGCCAAGGUCUCUUGAUACGAUGUUGCAUCUCAUCGUCUCAUUUUGAUUCUCAAUUAACAUGACCCAUAUGUCUUGACGUCAUUCCAAGUCACGGGGUGUCGUCGGCCAUCGCAGCUCACUCGAUCAUUCCAUCUAGAAUGAGCUCACUUGUCAUUCAUAACAUUGGGACAUCUCGAACAUGCAAGAGAGAAAAAAAAUAGAGGUAGAUAAUAACUUCAACUUUCAUAUUAGUCUAAACCUUACGCAUUUCAAUUUAACCUCCACAUUUGUAAGGAACUGAGUUUAACCCACCGUAGAGAACUGGUCAUAUAUGAGCUAUCUCAAUUA